This 460-nucleotide ribosomal RNA is filed under the name uncultured bacterium. Its description in RNAcentral is "partial 16S ribosomal RNA". It matches the Rfam family "Bacterial small subunit ribosomal RNA", at positions 338 to 795 of the family's 1533-position model. The record is from RNAcentral.
CCUACGGGAGACAGCAGUGAGGAAUAUUGGUCAAUGGCCGGAAGGCUGAACCAGCCAUGCCGCGUGAAGGUCAGUGCCCUAUGGGCGUUAAACUUCUUUUGUGCGGGAGCAAUAAUGGUCACGUGUGGCCAGACGAGAGUACCGUACGAAUAAGCAUCGGCUAACUCCGUGCCAGCAGCCGCGGUAAUACGGGGGAUGCAAGCGUUAGCCGGAUUUAUUGGGUUUAAAGGGUGCGUAGGCUGUGAGGUAAGUCAGCGGUGAAAUGCCCCCGCUCAACGGGGUGAAGUGCCAUUGAUACUGCCUGGCUGGAAUGCGGAUGCCGUGGGAGGAAUGUGUGGUGUAGCGGUGAAAUGCAUAGAUAUCACACAGAACACCGAUUGCGAAGGCAUCUCACGAAUCCGCGAUUGACGCUGAUGCACGAAAGCGUGGGUAUCAAACAGGAUUAGAUACCCUAGUAGUC